ACUGCUUCAGGAGUACACACUAAAGUUAGAAUGAUAAAAAGAAGAUCAGCAUGGCCACUCAGCAAGAUGAAACAUUCCAUAUUUUGUCUUAAAAAAUUGCC
Small nuclear RNA from Vulpes vulpes (red fox), 101 nucleotides. The record is from Ensembl. NCBI's taxonomy places the organism in Eukaryota, Metazoa, Chordata, Mammalia, Carnivora, Canidae.